RNAcentral lists this ribosomal RNA (439 nucleotides) under uncultured bacterium. Its description in RNAcentral is "partial 16S ribosomal RNA". It matches the Rfam family "Bacterial small subunit ribosomal RNA", at positions 339 to 795 of the family's 1533-position model. The record is from RNAcentral.
CUACGGGCGGCUGCAGUGAGGAAUAUUGCACAAUGGGGGAAACCCUGAUGCAGCAACGCCGCGUGGAGGAUGACGCAUUUCGGUGUGUAAACUCCUUUUAUCAGAGAAGAAGAUGACGGUAUCUGAUGAAUAAGCACCGGCUAACUCCGUGCCAGCAGCCGCGGUAAUACGGAGGGAGCAAGCGUUAUUCGGAAUCACUGGGCGUAAAGGACGCGUAGGCGGGUUGGAAAGUCAGGUGUGAAAUCCUACAGCUUAACUGUAGAACUGCAUUUGAAACUGCUAAUCUAGAGUAUGGGAGGGGGAGAUGGAAUUAGCGGUGUAGGGGUAAAAUCCGUAGAUAUCACUAGGAAUACCUAAAGCGAAGGCGAUCUCCUGGAACAUUACUGACGCUGAGGCGUGAAAGCGUGGGGAGCAAACAGGAUUAGAUACCCCCGUAGUC